RNAcentral lists this long non-coding RNA (346 nucleotides) under Gossypium raimondii (Peruvian cotton). RNAcentral describes it as "long non-coding RNA (GRAI_LNC005368)". Lineage: Eukaryota; Viridiplantae; Streptophyta; Magnoliopsida; Malvales; Malvaceae. The record is from RNAcentral.
AGUUUUUGCGCAUGUGUUAAAGGAAUAUUUUUUAUAUGACUCAGGAAAGUGUUAGUUUUCGGGUUAAUUUUAAAAACCUUUAUACGUUCUUUUCUUUUUCUUUCUUUCUUCCCUACUAUUUUUCUUUUCUUUUUUACUUCUAUUUUAUUUUUCCUUUUUACUUACCUCGUGAAUUAUUAUCAAGUCGAAUUGGAAGUUCUACUUUAUCAUUAUGUCGUUUGGAAGGUAAAUUUGUAAGUUUUGUUGUUGGAUUUUGUUAACAUUUGUUGUUUUUUGUCCCUGUCGAAAAUGUGGGUUAUUUGAUUAUCUCUCUCGAAUUCUCAGUUUAUCUGUAUGAUUGGCGUUC